This is a long non-coding RNA of Neodiprion fabricii, 817 nucleotides long. RefSeq lists it as uncharacterized. Lineage: Eukaryota; Metazoa; Arthropoda; Insecta; Hymenoptera; Diprionidae. The transcript is spliced from 4 exons. The record is from RefSeq and is a predicted model, not a curated record.
CGUAGACCUUCUUGAUAUCUCAUCCUUUCGUUUCACUCACGUUUAAUUAAAUUUCCAGCUAUGCAACGAUGCGAAUUUUCGCGUAGUAAUCUGCGUUUGAAUUUUCUGAGAAAACAAAAGCAUCACGCCUGCGCGCGCAAUGGAUUGUGGGACAAGCGUAGAGCGCGUUGUUGAAUUGCGAUCGAGUCACACUAAACACAUUUUUUUUACACGAUUAUCGCGUUUUAUUGUUCUAAUUCCGUGAUUUCGAAAAAUAUGAAUACUGGAACGAUUCUGAAGCAGUCUAAUCGCCACCGCAAAAGUCAUGUACAAGAAUCUAUCCAACAAAACUGCACUCUCGACCAACGGUGCUAGCAUCGAUCUGAGGGAACCAAAUACCACAACCUGUUCCCAGCGUUCUAGCAAUUCGGCUGUUUUAGGAUUUCUAAUUUCCUCUACCCUCCGUGGACGAUUCUCUUCAAUAAAAUUUUCUGUAACUGCCAUGCAGUACCUGCAAAAUACAAAAAUUGCGUACCUGGCUUGUUCCGACAACAAAGACUGCUGUUCAACGCAAAUUAUGCACAUCUCGUGUCGAUAAGCGAGCGUUCUAGCGAGGUGGCCAAUUCCGGCUCCAACGUCGACAGCGCAUUCCGAUUUCGCCGAAGCAGCGCAAUCCGCUAUUAUCUGAAAAUUCAGCAAACCUUCAGAGUUUACAACGUUGAUUCUUGGCAAAUUAAACGGUACAGAAAUCGAUAAAAACUAACCACGAUGUAGGCGUCCAGAAGCCAUCGGUAUUUGUCAAGAACGAUAAAUAUUUGGCGUACGGUUUCUCGCACGG